CUGAUUAUUUGCACCACUCAAGAAGUGGUGGGUUAGCACACGUUUCCGAGUAGCUAAAACCCGCCCUUGAGGCGGGUUUU
Molecule: small RNA, 80 nt
Filed under: Rhodanobacter sp. MP1X3
Lineage: Bacteria; Pseudomonadati; Pseudomonadota; Gammaproteobacteria; Lysobacterales; Rhodanobacteraceae
Description: sRNA P9
Rfam family: Pseudomonas sRNA P9
About the family: P9 appears to be conserved in several Pseudomonas species in addition to Bordetella spp.
Source: RNAcentral